This 1083-nucleotide long non-coding RNA is filed under the name Oryzias sinensis (Chinese medaka). Its description in RNAcentral is "lncRNA (ENSOSIG00000007408.1)". Lineage: Eukaryota; Metazoa; Chordata; Actinopteri; Beloniformes; Adrianichthyidae. The record is from RNAcentral.
AGUAAAGGUUAUUUAAAAAUGUAAUCAUGAAUUUAUUAUUAUUUAGAGAGGAGGAUGACUAUAGAUCCUAUCAGAGUGAAGAUGAAGAGGAGCUAGAAGCCCCCUUGCCGUUAAAAGAUGAUUAUGACUGGCAACAGCAGGACUCUUUUCUAUUUCCUCCACAUUACCGGCACAGCUGUGAGCUUCAUGGGGACAUGCACAGGAUGCCCCAAUGUCCCGACACAGCACAGGACGGGGCGGUCAGAUGGCCUCCUCUCUUCUCUCCUCCCAGCUGUCGAGAAUGGGUGGAGCCUGGAAACUGGUAAGUGCAUCUACAGUCAUUGUGAAACAUCAGAGAUGAAAGCCUUUGUUUUCCCUUUAGCUGUUAUGAACGUAGCUUCGGGGAUGACGGUGGGCCUCCGGGGAGCGUCUCGGUCAACGUGCCUCAGUUCUCCACGCCGCCCGUGAACGCCGUCUCCCAAGUGGACAUGGUGAAGCUGAGCUCAGCAGCAGGAGAGUCUUCCUCACAUCUGCAGGGCAGAACAGGAACCAUCAGCCUGCCCGACGAGUGCAGUGAGGCCUUUUAUCUUCACCAAAUCCAAAUGAUUCAUGCUGUACUUGACGUUUUCGUGUUUCCCAUGAUGUAUUUAGACAUCUGGAUUUUGUCAGGCUGCUGAUUUUAGAUCACCUUUUGUUAGAUCACCUUUGUUCUACUUAGUUUAGAGGCACAUUUAAUAAAACACGGUUAAUUAGAGACAGUUUUCAAAAUGCUUUGUUUUUUAUCUUAGGAAAUGUUCUCAUCACUCACUCUUUGGACGUGUCCUCAGAGAUAGCCGCUUUCAGAGACUUCCUCACAAAACAAGGCUUUCGAACAAGUGUGAGCAAAAUCCUAAUCCUUGUUUAUUUUUUAUCUACUUUUUUUAAAAAAAAAAAAACUCUUGAUAAUAUCAGAACCUAAACCUUACCUUGACAGACUGACCUCACUGAUGACUCCACUGGAGAAAUGGACAUCCACAAAUGGAGACAUGCUUUCCUAAAAGAUGUAAGUGAACAGCAUCGGGGUUGUUGUUUUUUUGUGCAACCUAAAAAGCUCCUAAAAUAAGA